Molecule: ribosomal RNA, 253 nt
Filed under: uncultured bacterium
Lineage: Bacteria
Description: partial 16S ribosomal RNA
Rfam family: Bacterial small subunit ribosomal RNA
Source: RNAcentral
UACGUAGGGUGCAAGCGUUAAUCGGAAUUACUGGGCGUAAAGCGUGCGCAGGCGGUUUUGUAAGUCUGAUGUGAAAUCCCCGGGCUCAACCUGGGAAUUGCAUUGGAGACUGCAAGGCUAGAAUCUGGCAGAGGGGGGUAGGAUUCCACGUGUAGCAGUGAAAUGCGUAGAGAUGUGGAGGAACACCGAUGGCGAAGGCAGCCCCCUGGGUCAAGAUUGACGCUCAUGCACGAAAGCGUGGGGAGCAAACAGG